This 77-nucleotide transfer RNA is filed under the name candidate division Kazan bacterium RBG_13_50_9. RNAcentral's name for it is "tRNA-Asp". It matches the Rfam family "tRNA". Rfam says of the family: Transfer RNA (tRNA) molecules are approximately 80 nucleotides in length. Their secondary structure includes four short double-helical elements and three loops (D, anti-codon, and T loops). Further hydrogen bonds mediate the characteristic L-shaped molecular structure. tRNAs have two regions of fundamental functional importance: the anti-codon, which is responsible for specific mRNA codon recognition, and the 3' end, to which the tRNAs corresponding amino acid is attached (by aminoacyl-tRNA synthetases). tRNAs cope with the degeneracy of the genetic code in two manners: having more than one tRNA (with a specific anti-codon) for a particular amino acid; and 'wobble' base-pairing, i.e. permitting non-standard base-pairing at the 3rd anti-codon position. The record is from RNAcentral.
GGGGGUGUAGCUCAGUCGGUUAGAGCGCCUGCCUGUCACGCAGGAGGUCGCGGGUUCGAGUCCCGUCACUCCCGCCA